Molecule: transfer RNA, 60 nt
Filed under: Dipodomys ordii (Ord's kangaroo rat)
Lineage: Eukaryota; Metazoa; Chordata; Mammalia; Rodentia; Heteromyidae
Rfam family: tRNA
About the family: Transfer RNA (tRNA) molecules are approximately 80 nucleotides in length. Their secondary structure includes four short double-helical elements and three loops (D, anti-codon, and T loops).
Source: Rfam by way of RNAcentral
GUGGCUCAAUGGUAGAGCGCUUGCCUCGCAUGCAUGAAGCCCUGGGUUCGAUUCCUCAGC